UGCCCCGCGCCGGGCGGGCUCCGGCUCCAGCGUCAGCCCCGCGCCCCCAGCGCCGCGACACCUGCCCCGGGGCCGGGAUGCAGGAGUUUGCAGCAUCUUUAUUGUGUAUGGAACCUCUGCCUGAGCUGAACCCAAAAUCUCAAAACAUAGUUCAGUCAAAGGUGGUGAGUUUGAUAUGGAUGUGUAUCCAAAUCACAAGUUACAAUGCAGGAUUGUCAGUGGGUCCCAGCAAUGCUCAGAAGAGUUUCAGACCUUUUCAGAAACCCAGGCUAAAGUCAGCUGAAGUGCUGAAUCCUCCGAACCAGGUAUGUUUUCUCAUUUCAAUUUUGGGACCAUGUUGUAAAUGUCAUGCAUCUCAAAUAUUUAGCCCAUGCAGCAGUUACAGCAUGUGAUGGCAGCACUGGGAUUUUGGGAAAAGAGAGGGAAGGUUGUUUAUCUAAUUAUAGGUAACUGAGUUUUCAGUGUCAAUAAUCUGAUUAAUGUUCCACAACCUUGCAGUAGUUCUUAUACCCAGGAAUCAUGGAGCUUCUCUUUGUUUCAAAGGGGGAAAACUCCUGUCUGGAAGGGGGUGUGAAACAAGAUGCUUCUGGAUUACUAAAAGGCAGAAAACUUUGCUAUUGCCAGUAAAAAGCCUUCCUCCCAUAGUGCCGUUCACCCUGCAAUAUCCAAGCAUGUGUCACAAAUGCAUAUGCACUAAUGAUAAUACCUAGCUCUUAGGCUUUCCAUCAUCAGAUCUCAAAACACUUGACCCAGGAGGUCAGUAUCAUCACCCCCAAGUUAUGGAUGGAGAAGCUGAAACUUGGGGAGGUGAAGUAAUUUGCCCAAAGUCAUGCAGCAGAUCAGAGGUCAGGGUGGGAAAUAGAACCCAGGCCCCUUGAAUCCCUGUUCAGUGUUUUAUCCAGUAAACUACACUUCCUCUGUUAGGCUCACAUCACGUACCUCUGAAGUGGAACAUAGGAGCUAUUCAGCAGAGAGACAGUUUGGGACGGAAGGUGGGGGGAAAGGUCCCCAACAGAAAUUUCAGGAAGAAUGUGGCAAGUCAGGAAGAAUAUGACAAGUUAUUGCUCACACUGGCAUUUAGCCAAACUAACACUCCUACGCUAUAAGAAGUGCAUGUUGUCUUUAAUGACCACAAGUGUGGUCAGGCUUUCGUUUAUCUCAUCUGAAAGGCAGCAUGUCCAGCGGGUCACCAUCCGCUAAUGUUAUGAUUGAACCUGGUUCAGUACUGACUCAGAGGAAAGAGUGCCACUGACUAAGUCACCCACAUCACUUCCUGCAGCACCCUGGGUUUUCCUUGGAGUACUGACCAGACCCAACACUGCCUAGAUGGUGAGAUCAGAUGAGAUCAUGAUGUGAAGUGGUCUGGCUGCAGUUAAGUAUAGAGGCAUAUUGAAAAAAGCAAUGCUCCUAGUAAAUGCUGGGAGGUUUUCUGAAUGAUUGGGUCUUGGGUUACAGAUCUCAAAAACAAGAAAUCUUCUUUAACUGACCUGGUAAUAAUAAUAGGGUUUUAAAAGUAUUUGUUUGGCCAGUGCUGACUACAUGCUUACACAGUUAGCCCUGGCCUGGGAAAGAUCUAAACCACAAUGGCUAAGUAUAGAGGUCUCUAAAAUAUCUUCAUAUAUACAGUGCCUGAAUACACAAACACAGCCAGUCUCUCUUCUGCCUACAGAAGCAAUAUUUUUCCAUAAAAUUUGUAUUGACAGAGGUUUUCCCCUGGAGUUAGGCUUCUCUAAUAAUAUAAAAAGCUUCCAGAAUUGUAUCCUUCUGCUGAACCCCAUUUCAGCCCUCCGUUUGAACCCAAUAUAAGCAAUGUCAUCUCUUUCUGAGGAACAAAUAAAGCACUUUUCAUUCUGCGGUGGAAUAGCUCC
This 1868-nucleotide long non-coding RNA is filed under the name Crocodylus porosus (Australian saltwater crocodile). Its description in RNAcentral is "lncRNA (ENSCPRG00005016377.1)". Lineage: Eukaryota; Metazoa; Chordata; Crocodylia; Crocodylidae. The record is from RNAcentral.